RNAcentral lists this ribosomal RNA (460 nucleotides) under uncultured bacterium. Its description in RNAcentral is "partial 16S ribosomal RNA". It matches the Rfam family "Bacterial small subunit ribosomal RNA", at positions 338 to 795 of the family's 1533-position model. The record is from RNAcentral.
CCUACGGGUGGCAGCAGUGAGGAAUAUUGGUCAAUGGUCGGGAGUCUGAACCAGCCAAGCCGCGUGAGGGAGGAAGGUACAGAGUAUCGUAAACCUCUUUUGUCAGGGAACAAAGGCGGGGACGUGUCCCCGGAUGAGUGUACCUGAAGAAAAAGCAUCGGCUAACUCCGUGCCAGCAGCCGCGGUAAUACGGAGGAUGCGAGCGUUAUCCGGAUUUAUUGGGUGUAAAUGGUGCGCAGGCGGUUUGGUAAGGCAGCGGUGAAAGCCCGGGGGUCAACCCCCGGCCCGCCGUUGAAACUGGCAGUCUCGAGUGGGAGAGAAGUAAGCGGAAUGCGCGGUGUAGCGGUGAAAUGCAUAGAUAUCGCGCAGAACACCGAUUGCGAAGGCAGCUUGCUGGCUCCACACUGACGCUGAGGCACGAAAGCGUGGGUAUCGAACAGGAUUAGAUACCCCAGUAGUC